This 890-nucleotide ribosomal RNA is filed under the name uncultured bacterium. RNAcentral describes it as "bacterial SSU rRNA". It matches the Rfam family "Bacterial small subunit ribosomal RNA", at positions 8 to 908 of the family's 1533-position model. The record is from RNAcentral.
AGAGUUUGAUCCUGGCUCAGGACGAACGCUGGCGGCGUGCUUAACACAUGCAAGUCGAACGGAAAGGCCCCUUUGGGGGUACUCGAGUGGCGAACGGGUGAGUAACACGUGAGUAACCUGCCCUUGACUUCGGGAUAACUUCAGGAAACUGGGGCUAAUACCGGAUAGGAAUCCUUGCUGCAUGGUGGGGGUUGGAAAGCUUCGGCGGUUUUGGAUGGACUCGCGGCUUAUCAGCUUGUUGGUGGGGUAGUGGCUUACCAAGGCUUUGACGGGUAGCCGGCCUGAGAGGGCGACCGGCCACAUUGGGACUGAGAUACGGCCCAGACUCCUACGGGAGGCAGCAGUGGGGAAUAUUGCACAAUGGGCGGAAGCCUGAUGCAGCAACGCCGCGUGCGGGAUGACGGCCUUCGGGUUGUAAACCGCUUUCAGCAGGGGCGAAGCUUUUGUGACGGUACCUGCAGAAGAAGCACCGGCUAACUACGUGCCAGCAGCCGCGGUGAUACGUAGGGUGCGAGCGUUGUCCGGAUUUAUUGGGCGUAAAGAGCUCGUAGGUGGUUGAUUGCGUCGGAAGUGAAAACUUGGGGCUUAACCCUGAGCGUGCUUUCGAUACGGGUUGACUUGAGGAAGGUAGGGGAGAAUGGAAUUCCUGGUGGAGCGGUGGAAUGCGCAGAUAUCAGGAGGAACACCAGUGGCGAAGGCGGUUCUCUGGACCUUUCCUGACGCUGAGGAGCGAAAGCGUGGGGAGCGAACAGGCUUAGAUACCCUGGUAGUCCACGCUGUAAACGGUGGGUACUAGGUGUGGGGGUCCAUUCCACGGAUUCCGUGCCGUAGCUAACGCAUUAAGUACCCCGGCGUGGGGGAGUACGGCCGCAAGGCUAAAACUCAAAGGA